CAAAGGUGUAGGAGUGUGUGUGCACUUCAAGAAUUUCGCACCAAAAUAAAAUAAAGAAAAUUAAUUCUAUUUUCCACAAACUUUUCUUAAAAAUAUCAUUUAUUUAUUUAUUUAUUUGACAGGUAGAGUUACAGACAGUGAGAGGGAGAGACAGAGAGAAAGGUCUUCCUUCCAUUGGUUCACUCUCCAAAUGGCCACAACAGUUGGAGCUGUGCCGAUCCGAAGUCAGGAGGCAGGAGCUUCCUCCCAGUCUCCCACGCCGGUGCAGGGGCCCAAGCACUUCGGCCAUCUUCUACUGCUUUCCCAGGCCACAGCAGAGAGCUGGAUCGGAAGAGGAGCAGCCGGAACUGGAACUGGUGCCCAUAUGGGAUGCUGGUGCCACAGGCAGAGGAUUAACCUACUGUGCCACAGUGCCAGCCCCUCUACAAACUUUUUAAAAUACUCUUGUGUGUGAGAUGUUUGUGUACAAACAUACACAGAAAAAUCAGUUGGUUUCUCAUUUAAAUUUUUUAACAUUUACUUGAGAGAGGGACAGACAGAGCUCCCACCACCUGGCUUGCUCCCCAAAUGCCUGCAAUAGAACAGCUAAGGCUGGGCAAGGCUGAAACAAAGAACCAGAAACUCAAUCCAGGUCUCCCAUGUGGGUGACAGAAACCCAACUACUUGAGCUAUUAGUGCUGCCUGCCAGUGUCUGCAUGAACAGGAAGCUGGAGUCAGGAGCUAGAGCCAGAAUAAAGAGUAACAGCGUCCUCCAUUGGUGGAUCACAUACUGGCUGCCAGUACAGACUGCCUUAUAAAUACUACCUCAUUUAACACCCACAACCGCCUAUCAGUUCUAGAUGCUGGGAAAUACACCAUCAAGAUGCUGGAAGAUUCUCUGCAUGGUGAGGACCCACUUUUUGGUUCCAAGAUGGCACCGUCUUCCUGUGUGCUCCCAUGGUGGGAGAGACCUCUUUUGUCCUGGCAGCUGGCCUCUUCUGUUUCAAAACCAGCAACAAGGCAUCAGAUCUGCUGCACAUCGUCAUCUCCUCCGGAAAUGUUCUCUACUUUUGAAGAUUCAUGUGAUUACACUGGGCCCACCCAGAUAAUAUCGGCAGAGGAGAAUGCCGAGUGACUGUAAAUGGGUAAGGACUUUCUUUUUGGGGUGGCAGAGCAUGGUGGAAUUUGAUAGUGAUGACGGCUGUACAGCUGUGGGUGUACUAAAAACUACUAAAAUAUAGAUGAAUAGACUAAAAUCUUAUAGUAUGUGGGUUUUAUCUCAACUUUAAGUGUGAAAAGUACUUUUAAAACUAUAAGCUGAUCCACUUGAGUUCAAACCUGAUAUCACCAUCUCAUUUGAGUCCAACCAUUUUUAUUGGCACCACCAGAUGCUGAGAUAAAAAGAUGAAAAGACUUUGCCUCUUCUUUCCAAGAGCCUAGCAGCUAAAAGGGGAGGCAAUCACAGGAGCACUUCAUUUUAAUUGGACUUAGUGAGGACUAGGAUAGAAGUGUGUUUCCAGAUCACAGGCUGUACUAGGAAAUCCAGACUUCAUUCUAGAGGCAGUGGGAAACCACUGGAGGUUUUUAAACUGGAGAUGGACAAUCUGCGUUUCAGGUGUGUCUUCCUGUUGAAGACUGCUGUGAAGGUAGCGUGGCUGGUAUCAGAGAUCAGGUGGGAGAUGAUUGUGGUAGUGUGAACGAAAAAUGAACGAAAAGCAGUGAGACAAAGAGUAGACGAGAGGAGAGUUCUGAUUCAACAAAUAUUUAAUAGCUAAAACGCUGUAGGAUUUGGUGUGAUGGAGAAUGAGAGAGAGAGAAGUCUGGGAUGACUCAUAGAUUUCGGGCUUGGGUCCCUGGGUCGAUGAUGGUGUCCUUAACUGAGAAGAGGAGUUUAAGAAGGAGUUUGCAGGUUGAAAUAGUGAGUUCCACUUGGGGCAGUACCUAAGUUUUGGGUAAAUGAUGGAGAGGAUGUGUCCAGCCAGUCAAGUCACUUUGAUCAAACUACUUAAUCCCUUUUCCCAGUUUCCAAAAGGGCAACAUUAUAAUGAAGACUAAGAACACUAGAUAUAUUUCUAUUUGAACAUGCAUUUGUAUGUACAUAAAUUUUGCCCAGAUUUCAACUACUGGGGGUAUUCACCUAAUCUGUUUUGGGGGAAAUGGCAGACUGUCUUAAUGAUUUGUUAAAUAUAUGCCUAGUUAUCUAUGGGAAAAACUGCACAGCAAUAUCAGAGGUAUAUUUAUAUUUACAGGUGCAACCUGACUUCAUUCAAUGAAAUUAUAGAUGUAUCAGAAAGAUAAAAUAAAGGGUAAUAAUUUGAUGCCCCUAAAGACUCAGUAUAAGAUCUUUUUAAACAUUUCUUCUAGUGAAUAUAAACCAAUUUGUGUUCAAGAAAUUAGAUUUCCAUUAAUUUCAAAAGCAAUAAGCAUUAACUUUUACUUUUGUUUGCAACGUGUUGAUCACAACACCAAGCUCUUGACAAGUAUUAUCUCUUUAUCUUUGUAAUAACCCCAGUAUGUAGAUAUUAUUCCCAUUCUCAUUUUACAAAUGAAGAAAAGGAAGUAUAGAGGCCGGCAUGGUGGAGCAGCAGGUUAAGAUGUUUUCGAUGCUGGCAUCCCAUAUUGGCAUGCUAAUUCAAGUCCCAGCUGCUCCACUUCCAAUCCAGCUAAUGCAUCUGGGAAAGCUACAGAAGGUAGCCCAAGUGCUUGGAUCCCUGACACUCAUAUAGGAGGCCAGGAUGGAGUUAUUGGCUUCUGGCUUCAGCCUGGCCCAGACCUGACUGUUGUGGCCAUUUGGGGAAUGAACCAGUGGAUUAGAAAUCUCUCUUCCUCUUUCUCUCUCUCAUAUCUCUCUUUAUCUGCCUCUCCCUCUCUCUCUCUGCCACUUUGCCUUUCAAAUAAAUAAAUCUUUUUCAAAAAAUGGACACAUAGAUUAAGUAAUAUAAUCAAUAUUGUUACCAUGGUAAGCAGUAAAGCCAGGACUCAAAACAGGAUCUCUUUAACUUGGAAAUACAGGUUCAUAACUAAGAGCUAUUGUUAUAUUCAUUUAUAAAGCCAUGUACUCUUGUUAGGCAUAAAGUCAUGGUUAUAUGCAUGCUUUGAUCAAUUUAAUGAUCAAAAUAACAAUCUGUUCUGGGGGAAAUUAUUCUCCCUCCAUUACUGCUUUCCUAUCCUCAUGCCUCUUUAGCAUUCCAAGUUAAUUUCCAGAUUCAGUCUCUAAUAUUCAUGUGAGGUCCCAUUAUCUUCCUGUCCAUCUUCCCUUCCUCUCAUCACACUGUUCUAUUCAGCACACAAAUUGGACAUGUUCAGUAAACAAGGAAGUCCUUGACCUGGAAUAAGAACAUUUACAGCAUCUUGCAAAAGGCCUGUCCUCAAACUCAUUUCUGCCUGCGCUUCUGGAAUAUGGACCGCUGAACUCACUGUUGCUCAGCCCAGCAGCCUAUCAACAUACAAACUUACGCCGAGGGAGGGAGGGCCACAGCAAAUGGAUGGAUGGGCCACUGGCACCAGAGGAAUUUGCUGAGUGGGAAUGGAGAAGUGAAGAGCCAUUUGUUCUUCAUAAGAGAAUGUGGCUGGGUUUUGCUUUUCUUUAUUUUUUUUAUUUUUUUUAUUUGACAGGUAGAGUUAUAGACAGUGAGAGAGAGAGACAGAGAGAAAGGUCUUCCUUCCGUUGGUUCACCCCCCAAAUGGCCGCUACUGCUGGUGCUGCGCCGAUCUGAAGCCAGGAGCCAGGUGCUUCUUCCUGGUCUCCCAUGCGGGUGCAGGGCCCAAACACUUGGGCCAUCCUCCACUGCACUCCUGAUCCACAGCAGAGGGCUGGACCGGAAGAGGAGCAACUGGGACUAGAACUGGCGCCCAUAUGGGAUGCCAGUGCACACCGCAGGCAGAGGAUUAACCAAGUGAGCCAUGGCGCCGCACCCCCCCCCCUUUUUUUUCCCCAGAGAAUGGAAUGGAAGCCAGCUAAGCCAGGGACUUCACUAGCCCUGAAGCAGCUGGGAACUUAAGAGAAGACCCAACAGGAUUCUUCAUAGGCUGGGGCUGACACAUUUGGAUGAAAGCAUUUCUGGAUUCCAUGGGCCCAUGUAGACUACUUAGGCUGGGCAUAGACCCUGCCUAUGGUUAUUUGCCUGAGUAGUAAGCAAAAGUUUUGAGAAGAAGCUUGCCAAAGGACAGAAUUUUAAAUUAAAUUUAACAUGCUGAUUAAAAAAAAAUAUUGUAUUGUUUGAAUUUAUCUUUUCAUAGUGGGCAGGCACCCCAAAUAAUCAGGAUGCAUUGUGUUCAGGAUCUAAUUCCCCAAAUGUCAGCAUCCAAUACAUUUCAAAAGUAAUUCACUUUGCAAUGUGUUUUUCCCAUUACACUCAUAUGGCAGAAAUUAUUGCAAAUAAUAGCCUAGGAUGCCGGGGUCGUCACUGCAUCAACUAAAGGAUCUGACGGGGCUGUUGACAGUCAAGGUUAUUGCUCCUGAAAAGAGGAAGAGGCUCCCACACCAUCUGAAAAAUAACCAUAGUUGAUGUCCUCUAUCAGCUGUCCCUCUGCCUUUCUCCAGCCUCAGACUUGCCCUCAAUUCCCCAAGCCUGUAUGCCGAGAGCUGUCUGAACAGACUUAUUCUUAUGCCUCCACUAUGGGCUUCUUUGCGCUUAGAAAUACCUAUGCCCCUUCUCUUCUAAAUAUUUCCUUCUAAUCCUCAAAACCAAAAUUUUUAGAUUCCUUGUAUGCCAAGUAUGACCUUUUUUUUAAGUUUCCGUACCUAUUGAAGCUUCCAUCUAUACUGUCCCAUAUUUACCUUUUUUCAUUUCAUUAUAUAAAGGGAAUACAUUUCAUAUGUACAAUUUUAAAAGCACAGUGAUACUUCCUACCCUUCCUUCUAUCCCUCACUCCUACCCUCCUGGUUCCUUCCUUUCUUAUUUUUCUUUUAAAUUUUACAGUGACUUACUUUCAAUUUACUUUAUAAUCACAAGCUUAACUCUCCACUAAAUAGAGAUUUCAAUGAGUAGUAAGUGGAAGAGUAUAGUCAAGGGCUUUAAACAACAAUCAAAUCACAAACGUCAAUUUUGCUCACAUACAUUACAUUUUUUGUACUCUGUAUAUUGGUUACCACUAAUCAGGGAAAGCAUAGGAUAUUUGUCUUUUGGGGAUUGGCAUAUUUCCCAUAUUUUCUUGCAGUUCUAAGAUGUUUCUUUGGAUUUCAUCUCAAGUUGUUUUGUGUGUGUAUCUUUUAGCCUCCAAUUAAAUUUUACAUUCUCUAGAGAGCUCAAGGGCUGUGCCUUUUAUUUCUUUAGCGUCCAGAAAUAGUACAAUGACUCACAUUAGGUAAUGAGAUAAAUGCCAUACCUGUGAUACACUCUGACCAAACUUAAAUAUUUGACAGUGAUACCAAGAACGAUUUUAUUAAACAGCCAUCAAAUCAAUUUCUUUUUUUGUUUUUAAAGAUUUAUUUUUACUUAUUU
Non-coding RNA from Oryctolagus cuniculus (rabbit), 5423 nucleotides. Lineage: Eukaryota; Metazoa; Chordata; Mammalia; Lagomorpha; Leporidae. The record is from RefSeq and is a predicted model, not a curated record.